This 628-nucleotide ribosomal RNA is filed under the name uncultured Russulaceae. Its description in RNAcentral is "LSU rRNA". It matches the Rfam family "Eukaryotic large subunit ribosomal RNA", at positions 47 to 649 of the family's 3401-position model. Lineage: Eukaryota; Fungi; Basidiomycota; Agaricomycetes; Russulales; Russulaceae. The record is from RNAcentral.
UAAGCGGAGGNAAAGAAACUAACAAGGAUUCCCCUAGUAACUGCGAGUGAAGCGGGAAAAGCUCAAAUUUAAAAUCUGGUGGUCUUUGGCCGUCCGAGUUGUAAUUUAGAGAAGCGUCUUCCGCGCUGGACCGUGCACAAGUCUCCUGGAAUGGAGCGUCAUAGAGGGUGAGAAUCCCGUCUUUGGCACGGACACACCAGGGCUUUUGUGAUGCGCUCUCGAAGAGUCGAGUUGUUUGGGAAUGCAGCUCAAAAUGGGUGGUGAACUCCAUCUAAAGCUAAAUAUUGGCGAGAGACCGAUAGCGAACAAGUACCGUGAGGGAAAGAUGAAAAGCACUUUGGAAAGAGAGUGAAACAGUACGUGAAAUUGUUGAAAGGGAAACGCUUGAAGUCAGUCGCGUCGACCGAGACUCAGCCUUGCCUUGGCUUGGUGUACUUCUUGGCUGACGGGUCAGCAUCAAUUUUGCCCCUUGGAUAAUGGUGAGGGAAAUGUGACACCUUUACGGUGUGUUAUAGUCUCUUGUCGCAUGCAAGGGUCGGGAUUGAGGAACUCAGCACGCGCCCUUGGGCGUCGGGGCUUUUGCCCACGAUACGUGCUUAGGAUGUUGGCAUAAUGGCUUUAAACGACC